GGUCACGUAGGUCAGUUGGCUAGAACUUUGGCUGUGCUGAAGCCUUACAUUUGCUGGCGUGGGUUCGAAUUCCACCGAGACCA
Molecule: transfer RNA, 83 nt
Filed under: Schistocephalus solidus
Lineage: Eukaryota; Metazoa; Platyhelminthes; Cestoda; Diphyllobothriidea; Diphyllobothriidae
Rfam family: tRNA
About the family: Transfer RNA (tRNA) molecules are approximately 80 nucleotides in length. Their secondary structure includes four short double-helical elements and three loops (D, anti-codon, and T loops).
Source: Rfam by way of RNAcentral